Molecule: long non-coding RNA, 593 nt
Organism: Coffea arabica (coffee)
Lineage: Eukaryota; Viridiplantae; Streptophyta; Magnoliopsida; Gentianales; Rubiaceae
Source: RefSeq, a predicted model, not a curated record
AUUUUCCUCCCAUCUUGUCACCAGCUACCACCCUUUUCUUACCCCUCUAAACUUCCGCUCCUCUGCUGCAAGAAGAAGCAGAAACCGCUGCCUUCCAAGCUCCAACAGCCUCUCAUCUUCAGCCACUCACACCCAGUCUUCAAGCUUCCAUUUUCAGCUUCCACCUCCACUUCUUGCUGCUGUCCAGAUCGAGCAAGAGGAAGGAGAGGAUCGUUGUUGCUGCUGCUACUCUCGCUGCUCCUGCCGCUGCUACUACUGCUGGGUUGUUCGGACCAGGGUGAAGGAGAAAAACCAGCUUCCUAUUUCUUCCUUCCACCAACCACAGAACCAUCUCAAGCUCACCAAACAGAACCCCAGCCCUCUUCAUCUUCAGUCGCUGCUGUGCUGCUGCGGUGACUGGCCAGACCGAGAGGGAAACAGAGAGCAAGAGAGCCGGCUGAUCCUCUGUGGUUCUAGGAGCAACUUGAGGAACUAGACAAUACAUUUAGCUAGUAAACAACCCACUUGAAGGAGUUGGUGAAGAGCACAAUCUCGAUCAAAGAUUGGAAUUCUAGACACUUCACUUGAGGUUCUGAAACGCAUGAAGUCUUGGA